This 662-nucleotide long non-coding RNA is filed under the name Cicer arietinum (chickpea). Its description in RNAcentral is "long non-coding RNA (CARI_LNC000558)". The record is from RNAcentral. Lineage: Eukaryota; Viridiplantae; Streptophyta; Magnoliopsida; Fabales; Fabaceae.
UUGAUAAUAAAACAUCAACUUUUCAUAAUAGUUAAUAUAAAAAUUUAAGAUGCAUUUUUAAUAAUCAAAGAUAACAAAUCAAAUCAAAUAAGAGUAUCACAAUAUCAUGCAACAACAUGCAAGUUAUCAAUAUUUUUCUAACAACAUGCAAUCAAAAUUCCUAAGUACACCUAUGAAUAACAAGGUUUUCUAUAUACAUUGAAGGGACCCCUAAGAGAUGAUUAUAUUCUAGCUUGUAAACUUCAUCCUUGAACCCUAGCUCAAAUUCAUCUCCUUCCUCCUUCUCUAAACUCCAUGGACACAAGAAAAAUCAAGAGUUUUGUUUUGUGUUGGUCUUCAUAUAUAAUUAUUGUUUGUGGGAAAGGUUAGAGUUCCCCUUCUUCUUCCUUCAACGGUCUCUCUUUUCCCCUCUAUUUUUUCUUCUUUCUUUCUACCUCUCGGUUCUGUCUCGCUCUCUCCGUAUGUUUUUUUCUCUUCUUUUCUUUUGAUUAGUAACGAAUGAGAAUUAAAAGAGAAAAAAAAAAAAAAAGAUGUAAAGGGCUGCAUGUAUUUUAAUUGGAGGAGGGAAGUGUGUAUGUGGUUUUUUGUUGUUGUUGUUAAUGAUGUGUUUGGGUAUGGGCCAAGAAGUGAAGGGGACUUAGUGGAGAAACCUCCAAUUUAUU